GGGGAAUAUUGCACAAUGGGCGAAAGCCUGAUGCAGCGACGCCGCGUGAGGGAUGGAGGCCUUCGGGUUGUAAACCUCUUUCGCUCAUGGUCAAGCCGCAGCUUUGGGUUGUGGUGAGGGUAGUGGGUAAAGAAGCGCCGGCUAACUACGUGCCAGCAGCCGCGGUAAUACGUAGGGCGCGAGCGUUGUCCGGAAUUAUUGGGCGUAAAGGGCUUGUAGGCGGUUGGUCGCGUCUGCCGUGAAAUCCUCUGGCUUAACUGGGGGCGUGCGGUGGGUACGGGCUGACUUGGGUGCGGUAGGGGAGACUGGAACUCCUGGUGUAGCGGUGGAAUGCGCAGAUAUCAGGAAGAACACCGGUGGCGAAGGCGGGUCUCUGGGCCGUUACUGACGCUGAGGAGCGAAAGCGUGGGGAGCGAACAGGAUUAGAUACCCUGGUAGUCCACGCUGUAAACGUUGGGCACUAGGUGUGGGGGCCACCCGUGGUUUCUGCGCCGUAGCUAACGCUUUAAGUGCCCCGCCUGGGGAGUACGGCCGCAAGGCUA
RNAcentral lists this ribosomal RNA (542 nucleotides) under uncultured bacterium. Its description in RNAcentral is "bacterial SSU rRNA". It matches the Rfam family "Bacterial small subunit ribosomal RNA", at positions 356 to 896 of the family's 1533-position model. The record is from RNAcentral.